GAUGAACGCUGGCGGCAUGCUUUACACAUGCAAGUCGAACGGUAACAGGUUAAGCUGACGAGUGGCGAACGGGUGAGUAAUGCAUCGGAACGUGCCCGGUCGUGGGGGAUAACGCAGCGAAGGCUGCGCUAAUACCGCAUACGAUCUGAGGAUGAAAGCGGGGGACCGUAAGGCCUCGCGCGAUCGGAGCGGCCGAUGUCAGAUUAGGUAGUUGGUGGGGUAAAGGCUCACCAAGCCAACGAUCUGUAGCUGGUCUGAGAGGACGACCAGCCACACUGGGACUGAGAAACGGCCCAGACUCCUACGGGAGGCAGCAGUGGGGAAUUUUGGACAAUGGGCGAAAGCCUGAUCCAGCAAUGCCGCGUGCAGGAAGAAGGCCUUCGGGUUGUAAACUGCUUUUGUACGGAGCGAAAAGGUCUCCUCUAAUACAGGGGGCUCAUGACGGUACCGUAAGAAUAAGCACCGGCUAACUACGUGCCAGCCGCCGCGGUAA
This 493-nucleotide ribosomal RNA is filed under the name uncultured bacterium. RNAcentral's name for it is "partial 16S ribosomal RNA". It matches the Rfam family "Bacterial small subunit ribosomal RNA", at positions 28 to 523 of the family's 1533-position model. The record is from RNAcentral.